GAAAAGUCUAAUAAUAUAAGAAGCGUUCUCGAAUAAUAUCUAAUAUCUACCUUCCAGAUUUUCAAUAGAAACUUAAUUAGAACAAAGACAAAAAAGAAACGCGAUAAAACUAAAAUCAGCCAUACCGUUCACAAUUCUCACCCCCUUCCUCGAGUGACCUCGUCUCAGAGUUCACGAUUCGAGCGACUCGCCGCCGCGCAUCACCACUCGCCGCCCUGAAUCACCACUCGCCGCCGUGAAUCACGCCAUGCAUCGGCCGUCCACAAUGUCUGAGCUAUUGCGUCACCGUGUCUCACCAUCGUUCUGCGGAAUCGAUGAUGAAACAUGAAUCGGACGAUUCAGGCAACGACUUCGAUCUCGCUUGCGACGACGAAUCGGAGUACUGCUCCAGCCAGGAAGCUUCGUUCUCUUACCUACACUCUGAGAUCUUCUGCGAUUGUUCAAAGCUCUCUGAUUACACUUCGUCACUGUUCAUCGAUUCUGGAAGCCAGUUUUCGGAAGGAUCUGGAAGGAAUUCUGGCUUAUUACUUCAAGCGUCGAAGAAGAUGUUUCUCUUCAGCUUUAGGUACGUUUGCUUAUUGCUUCAAUUACUUCAGAGCUCAAAAUUACGUUCUGUUGAAAAUCUGCUUCUUCCUCUGUUUGGUUUUAUCUUGUGAUUUCUUUAUUUGGUGGUUCUUAAUUUACAGCUUGUCUGAUUUUAGUUUGCAAGUUUUGAAGAUUUCAGUGCUUCAGCACAAAUGGUUCACUUGAUCAUUGAGAUAGGUUGCUUUGAAACUAAAUCCAAUUUUGAAUUGCACAUUGAUCAGUACUUUGUUACUUGUUAUUGUUUUGUUGCCUAUCUCUCAAAGUAUAUUUUCUUUAACUUACAAAUUGCUAUCAAGUUUAAUGUGUUUUUUCAAUUAAUCUUAUGUGAUAGUCACCUUGCUAGUUCUUUGGUUUUACACCAUUUAGCAUGGUUCUAAGCACCACCUGGUAAUAUUCUCUUUUUGACAUGAUCUAUCAUAGUGUAUAAUCUUUUUGUCGCCUUGCAGGUGUGUGUGUGUGUGUUUAUGCACUAAACUUAGCAUAUUACCCCGAUGAGUUGAACAGAAAGAGUAGAAGUUAGGUUAUUUCUCCCAAAAUGAUUGACUAUUUUAGAUGCAAUCCGUUCCUGAGCUAAAGUCAAUAUAGUUACUAGCUUGUGGUGCUUAAUGAUGCCAUAUGUUCUCGGAAUAUCUGGUGGUAAAUUGGUAAUUGCGCUCACCAUGUGAAGCUUCAUUUUGUGAGUGUCACUUUUUAUGCUUUCCAGUUCAUAAUUCAUUGUGUGCUUGAUUUCCAGAAAAUUUUGAACAUAUUGUUGCUCCUUUUUUAAGAGAGGGGUGGUGGUGACGCCGGUGAACAGAUGGAAAACGAUGUAUGCUUACCUCAACAAUAACAAGCUUUUCUAAUUAUUGUUCUCCAUGACAUGACAUAUUUCAUUCUAUCCAUUUUGGUUCUUAAAUUUAGUUAUACUUAUAUCAUUUUCUGAAAUAUACCUAAAACUGAUCUGCGUACAUAUGAUGAAAUUUAAUGAAUAAGAAUGAUCUUCUAUUGCAUUCAACUUGCAUCACAUGACACUUCUUAGUAAUUCCUUACUGCAUUGUUUUCCUCCCACUAUAUCGUGUUACGGCUAUAUGUUGAACUGAUGCAUUUUGCUCUCAUGCUAUGUGACUAAAAUUAGAUUAGAUCUUUGGUUAUAUCAUUAUUUAAAUUGGUAAUCUUGGCUCUAAUCCUAAUUGUACGAUGCAGGUAGCCUUCAUUUCCUCGUGUUUCUUUCCUGGUAGGUAAUGGUUAACUAAAUCUUCUCAACAUGCAGAACAUGGUAGCAUUCUUCUAUUGUGUAUAUAUUGGAGGGGAGACAUAUAACAUAUUUGGUUCCAUUGAUAAAGAUCAAUUUUGUAUAAGACUUCUGAUUGCAUUUUUGCUCAUUGCAGCGGCUUUUCUUGGUGAUCAGAGACAGUAUGAUGUGACUCUAAUCACUCAUUUUCUUUUUUCAAUUUUUUCUCCUCUUUUAAUCUCUCUUCAAGUGUAUUGUUUGUGUUUAUUUGGGUUUGGAGAAUGUGAUUUGAUGUGUGUUUGUGCAGAUUGUGGGAUGGAGAAUAUCCUGAAGCCAAGUGAGUUAUAAAGGGUCGUGACUGCGGUUUUUUACUAGAAGUGCACUCGUCACAGAAAAUUACUUUUGUGUAAAUGCAUGGAAAACUACUCAAGCAGAGGACUGCAUCAUCAUAAUGAACAAAAAGCUGGAAAAAAGGUUACUUGCCUGCAGUUUAUAGCAUAAAAAACAAAGCAGGUCUCGUCAUAACCGAUGAUAUUCAGUCAGGGCUUGGUCGUCUUGGUAGUCACUUUUUAGGUUUUGAGGUACAUGGAAUUGUUGUGGAUAUUGCAACUGUAGCAAAGAUAGCAUUUUAUCUAAGCUGCAUAUGUGAUUAUUUAAUAAAUGCUACUUAGCUAGGUUGACUAUGCAUGAACUAGAAAUAAUUGCAUUUGUAAUGCAAUUGAAGGUUACUUCACUCAUUCAAUGGGAAACAACAGUGAAGACUCUUCUCAACAAGGGGCACAAGAAAGGCUAUGAACUGGGACCUAGAAAGUUAUACAAUACAUUUGUUAGGUACUUUACGUAAAUUUUGGAUUCUCAAUGUUUCUUAUUUGGUAAAUUUAUUUCAUCUAAAUCAUGAGUUUAGAUUUUAGCUUUCAUAGCUCUUGUUUCACUCUGGUCUGAACCAGAUACAUAUGUUUGGUUCAAUCUGAAAGUUCUAAAAAAAGUUAAUGAGUUGAAACUUUUAAGACAAGUUGCAUACAUAAUCAUUUUGAGAUGAAAUGAUUUAUCUUAUAUUUAUACAUAUAUUUAUACCUUUCUAUUUAGCUAUGAUUUAUCUUAUAUUUGAUUGCUGCAAAUGUGGUUAACAUAUUAUAGGUGAAAUGUAGUAUUUUAAAUAUCUCAGGGUCCUCUAAAGUUCGAUUGUGUUGUUUGGAUUUAGUAUAUGAAAUGGCAACGGUUAGAAAACUGUUCUCUUUGACCUACAAAUAAAAACGUUCUCAAAUACCUUUGACAACGUUUUAGCAUAUGUUCUCCUUAUGAUCGUGGGGAACGCUUUUCCUGUGACAUCACAAGAAACGAGUGAAAAUGCGUUGCCAUAGGUUUACCAGAAAAACGUUCUCUAUAGCUUCUUAUUGAGAACGGUUUUCUGUUAUUGUUGCCGAUGACUCAGUAAAGAGUUGUAGAAAGAAUAGGCAACGCCUCAGACAACCACACUUGCAGAAACGUAUCAGAAACCAAAGGGAACGGUUUUUUGAUAUUAGGCCACGG
Long non-coding RNA from Lotus japonicus, 3325 nucleotides. RefSeq lists it as uncharacterized. Lineage: Eukaryota; Viridiplantae; Streptophyta; Magnoliopsida; Fabales; Fabaceae. The record is from RefSeq and is a predicted model, not a curated record. The transcript has 4 exons.